This is a long non-coding RNA of Raphanus sativus (radish), 618 nucleotides long. RefSeq lists it as uncharacterized. Lineage: Eukaryota; Viridiplantae; Streptophyta; Magnoliopsida; Brassicales; Brassicaceae. The record is from RefSeq and is a predicted model, not a curated record. The transcript has 2 exons.
AUUCUUCUUCAUCAGUAAACGCUUCCUCUUCUUAAAUAUGUGAGUUCCCAUCUGUGAAUUUCCUUUCCAAAAAUUACAGAGCUUGGAAAGGCAAACGUUUCUCAAUUCGAUUUGAAAGCCGGCUCCACCGUCGAAGUUCUAAUCUUGGGAUUAUGGGAGACUGGCAAUGUAAGGAAAGGAUGCUAGCUUCUGUGUCUCACAAGUCACAACUCUGAUGAAGAGGCCAAGAGCAGAUAACUAAAGAUAAGUGAAUAAUCGCUUGGUUAGGACAAUGAGGUUACAGAAUGGGUACAUGUGGUGGAAGAAACGGCAACGAUGUUGGAUUUAACAGUCACAGAGGUGGCAGAGUUAGACCAUACGUACGGUCUCCGGCGCCUCGACUCAGAUGGACGCCGGAACUUCACCGUUUCUUUUCUCCUUCAAUCUUUCAAGAAAAAUGCAACCUUUUGUUACUUUGUUUUAUUCAACUGUUUGCUAUUUUCUUUUUUGCACUUGCUACUUUGUUUCAUUUUUAUAUGUUUAAGUUUGAUUUUUGGAUCUAUUUUAAAAUAUAGUUGAAUUUUCUCAUUGUAUCGUCACCAUCUAUUUUUUAGCAGACUUAGCCCUUAGCCAAGUGUU